Molecule: ribosomal RNA, 608 nt
Filed under: Stachybotrys sp. Ecu425
Lineage: Eukaryota; Fungi; Ascomycota; Sordariomycetes; Hypocreales; Stachybotryaceae
Description: eukaryotic LSU rRNA
Rfam family: 5.8S ribosomal RNA (bases 228-381)
Source: RNAcentral
UUGGUCAUCUAGAGGAAGUAAAAGUCGUAACAAGGUCUCCGUUGGUGAACCAGCGGAGGGAUCAUUACCGAGUUUACAACUCCCAAACCCUUAUGUGAACCGUACCUAUCGUUGCUUCGGCGGGAACGCCCCGGCGCCCUGCGCCCGGAUCCAGGCGCCCGCCGGAGACCCCAAACUCUUGUGUUUUUUUCAGUAUUCUCUGAGUGGCAAACGCAAAAAUAAAUCAAAACUUUUAACAACGGAUCUCUUGGCUCUGGCAUCGAUGAAGAACGCAGCGAAAUGCGAUAAGUAAUGUGAAUUGCAGAAUUCAGUGAAUCAUCAAAUCUUUGAACGCACAUUGCGCCCGUUAGCAUUCUAGCGGGCAUGCCUGUCCGAGCGUCAUUUCAACCCUCAGGGUCCCCGUUCCGGCGGGGAACCUGGUGUUGGGGAUCGGCCCGCCCCGUGCGGCGCCGUCCCCCAAAUUCAGUGGCGGUCUCGCUGCAGCCUCCCCUGCGUAGUARUUACAACCUCGCAUCGGAGCUCAGCGCGGCCACGCCGUAAAACCCCCGACUUUCUGAACGUUGACCUCGGAUCAGGUAGGAAUACCCGCUGAACUUAAGCAUAUCAUA